Molecule: long non-coding RNA, 4988 nt
Filed under: Homo sapiens (human)
Lineage: Eukaryota; Metazoa; Chordata; Mammalia; Primates; Hominidae
Description: HSALNT0371919
Source: RNAcentral
AGUGGCUGCAGCCUCUUGCAGACAGUGGAGGCUCAGGCUAAGCCAGCAAGACCAAGAGGAGCACGGAGAGCUGGCAAGACGCUGGCCCGAUGAUAUCGCCUGAGCCGUGAAUCCUCCUGGCCAACGCCAGGGCUUCCUCAGGCUUUGUCAUUGCAGGGACACUUCCCUCCCUCCCUCCUUCUCUGUCUCUCUCCCCACUGCCUCUCUUUCUAGCUUAAGCCAAUUUGAGAUGGAUUUUCUGUCACUUGCUGUUGAAGGAGUCCUGGUCCAGCCCAGGUGGAUUUCGUGCAAAUGAAACCCACAUAAUGCAAGUCUGUGUGGAAGUGAUCGUCUGCGAUCGGCGCGUGCCCUUCGCCUUAUGAACAGGAGCCAUGGGUGACACGAGCGCCUCGGCUGGGCCGCCGGGGUCCGUCUGAGGUCCAUCUGUCUCCAGGGCACAGACCCCAGGCCUGGACAGAGCCGGGCACGUGUGAAACGGGAAGAUGUCAGCUGGGGAACCGGCCGCAGCUCCCAACCUUGAUGAGGAAAGAAACCUGGUAGCUGUUCCUGCAGAAAAGCCACAUGGCUCGCCGCCUAUCUCCACGAUGGUACCUGGCUUCUCCCAUCCUCACCGUCCACGUCUACUCCCUUCCCAUCCCAGACCCGAGACGCAGAAGGCUUUAGACAGAGCAGCUUCAUCAGGAAUCUGGACUGGGCUGAGGUACCUGCUCCCAGCUCCUCAAAGUGCCAUCCGGUAAAUCUGCAUCUAUUAGAGCUGACAGCCAGGCUGCUCAGGCUUAAACAAUUAAUAUGCAUGAGGAGUCCGCAAACACAGAGCAGGGGCAUGUUACUGUGCUGGGAUGUAGGACGGCUUCUCGGAUAAGGUCAUUCAUUUUUAUGAUUCUGCUUAAUUUGGAUUUGCCAGUCUUCCUUUCAUUAUCCCAUGGGCCAGUCUUAAUAAUCAAGACUAUGUUAUGUGCUUUGUGGCAUAAUUAAAGCCACUGCCUAAUUAGACAAGCAUCUACCGUCUGACAAAGAGAAAUCAGUAAUGCAGCUAAUGGAGAAAGUGGUGAGGAGUUGGGUUUGAAAGUGGAUGGAAUCACCUGUUGGUGCCAGAACACACACACACAUGCACACAUGUCCACACAUGCACACACAUCUGUGGACACACACACACAUGUACAUACAUCUCACACACACAGAUACAUGCACACAUGUACACACGCAGAUACAUGCGCAUGUACAGGCAUGCACACAUACACACACACACACACUCUCCUACAUUCUAUGUGUGUUUCCGAUGACCAGCCCUGUCAAACCAAACCAAUCAGCAGUGCAGUUUCUGCCGGGAUAGUUGGCCUCUGAGGGGUUAAAGCCAUGCAGGGAAUCCAAGUCUGAGUUUCAAGUGGGCCGGGCUGAGCUUGCUUUUGUUUACUUCUUUAAUCAUCCAUGGACGCUUGCUGGGGCCUGCAAUGGCCAGGCACAUCCACCCACGUGGGACAAGAUGCAGCUUCCGUGGCUGCUUGCAGGGGAUGGAAGACUCCCACAGACGCCUGCUAACAUCACAUGCCCAAGUGUCACCGCGAUGCCACGUCCAGUCUGAGCCAUUCCUCGCCCAUGUCCCUGUCCUUGUUGCAUAGCCGGCCUCCAGCGUGUGGCUUCGUGCAGCGACCAGACCGUCGUGUGACUUUCUGCCACGGUUGCUGGGGUUGGCACUGGGGCAGACCUGCUGGGGGGUUCUGGGUUGCAGCUGGAGCGCUGGGACUGGCAGGACGCCUCUCUUCGUGCUGCCCCAGGGCCCAUCCACGUCGACUCCCGGCGUGAAGCGUGUGGGCUGCCUCACAGCCUGGCAGCUCCAGGACUGCUGGGGGCUCCCCCCGCGGCCCCGGCUCUGCUGGCAGCACUGGGCCAGAAGCAACUCACCUUCACACAGCCGCCCUGAAGGCACGUAGGUUCCGGAAGGGAACCUUGGGAAAUGGGAUUCGUGCCAUACUCAUGGGAGUCCCAAGCUCCCUCGCCCAUUUCACUCCAUGAGGAUAGGAGGGGACAGCUGCUGACGACCUGGCAGAGACCCUGCGCCAGGCCCCACCCCACCGGCACCCUGAUCUUGCACUUCCGGCCUCGAGAAUGCCCCCGCCCGGGAGGGUCUGAGCCAGGCAGCCUCCCCGGGAGCCGGUGCUGACACGGCCAGAGAAACCAUUCCAGACCCGGACCCCACUGUCCCCAACACCUGCGGGCCAGUGACUCAGGGCGGUGGAGAGAGCCAAGAGGAAGUGGAGGCUGAGUGGCCCUCCCCGGGGCUGGGGCCCGCCGUCUGGUUGUGUCUCCAGCCGCUGGUUUAGGGGAAUCGGGAGGGCUCACUUAAGCAUCCCUUCCCUGCGUGCUCUUCCAUCGCGGGACAGAAGACCCGACUGCUGCCAGCACCAAAGGGUGUUCCCACGGCACACGCCGCUUGGGCUCGGGCAGGCAGGGACCCCUCCUCGUGCCUCGGGAGCCUGGAGCUGUCGGCCCUGCAGCUGAGGACCACAGGAGGUCAGGGACAUGCAAGCUCAGUGCCCGAAGUCACUUCUAGAGUGCGAUUCGGUGUCCCUGAAGGUCCCAACUCUGCCCUGACACAUUACAGAAAAUGUCGCUGCCCCCUGGUGUGGAUGCUGGCCCGCCCCCGGGGAGGCUUCUGCCCCAUCACCCAGCCCAGCCCAUCCCAUCCCAACAGGACUCAGCCUCCAGUGGCUACCAUCAGACCCCACGGCAUGGUGACUGUCACUGCAGAGGGCUAGAGAGGGCCGCGUGUGGGACGGCAGGGGCCGACGGGGGGCUCUGCAUUCCCCAGUAACCCAGGUUUCUGCUGGGGCUGCUCCCCAGCUGCUCUGCUCCCCAGCUCCCUACAACGCGGAUUUAUUCUUAUUUCCCACAGGGAAGGCCUAACAAGGCUUGACCAAUCAGUGAAGGGCAUUCCCCAGACUGCUGGCUGUGACUGGGUCCCAGAUAAGCACGUGACCCACUAUGGGCCAAUGAAAGUCGCCUGAGACUUUUGCUUGCAUGGUUGCUGGGACGGUCCAAAGUCCUCAGUGGGGACGGCUGGCUGCAGCUGUCAGACUUGGAGCGUGAGGACAGAGCUGGGCCGGUUCCUCCCUGGGAUCUCCCCUCCCCGAGCACAGGCUCUGCUCUGCCCAGCCCCAUGCUGUCCCCUGUGCGACCGCUGUGGGCUUCCUGCCAGGCUCCUGCACCCUCCGGCUUCUGUUGGGUUCAGUUCUGGGAGGCAGCCCCGGAGUCUGGAGGGUGGAAGGAGUGAGGGGCAUCCCCUGUCCCCUCCCCACAGUCUUGGCAGUGGUUUCUUCUCUCCAGAGUUACUGUCCCUACCCCCUGUCCUCUCUCUGCAGCUCCAGCUCUUGCUGGGCGCCUGUGAUUCUCACCCCUGUCCCUUCAGGCCGUGGGGAGAAGAACAUCCCAGUGCGGUCACUUCCUGGAUCCAAUUCCUGGAUGCCCAGUGUCCGCCGGGUCUCCUGGAUUCACCGUGGUCACUGCCUGGAUGCCCAGUGUCCACUGGGUCUCCUGGAUCCAAUUCCUGGAUGCCCAGUGUCCGCCAGGUCUCCUGGAUUCACUGUGGUCCCUGCCUGGAUGCCCAGUGUCCUCCAGGUCUCCUGGAUUCACUUCCUGAAUGCCCAGUGUCUGCUAGGUCUCCUGGAUCCACUUCCUGGAUGCCCAGUGUCUGCCAAAUCUCCUGAAUUCACUUCCUGGAUGCCCAGUGUCCACCAGGUCUCCUGGAUUCUGCCUGUGUCCACGUGAGGGCACCAUCAAUUUCCUGCAAGGAUCCUGACAGUCAAGGUGAGGAGAUGCCUGAAGGACAGGAGACACUCACAGGAGGCCCUGGAGACAGAUGUGCCUCACAGGCAUUCCUGAGGACCUGUGGCCUGGCAGCACAGAGACUGGGUGAAAACAGAACCUUGUGAUCUGCAAGUUCUGCCGCUGCCCUGUCUGUGUCUGUGAAGCAAAGUGUCCAGAAGGGGCCCGCGUGGAAGCUUCUGAGAGCGGUUAGGGGAACGGGGCCCCACGUCCUCCCCGGAGGGCUGGAGACAGAGGCAGGCCGUGCCCCCAGCCCAGAGUAGGGAGGAGGCUGGCAGGCGGCAGCUGUGGAAAGGAGGCGGAGCCCCCAGACUCCUGAGCCAGCAGAGGAAGGAGUGGGACAGAGCCCACCCCAGAGGGAGACAAGACCCCGGGGAAGAGACCCCUCAGGGUGGCCCCCCAGCCCCUCCCAGGCUCAGCUUUCAGCCUGCACCCCCGUCUGGUCCCUCAGAAUGACUGAGGUUUCCACUCUUUUUCUGCCAAAUCUCUAGACUCCACGUCCCCGCUCUGCCACCUACUCUCUGUGGGAUCUGAAUAAAGAGACUUAACCUUUCCUGCCUCAGUUUCCCCAUAUGUAAAAUGGGACAAUAAGAGGCUCUGCCUCUAAGCCUUGCUGCAGGGAUUAAGGGAGCGAUGCGUGGUCUGCAGCCAGCCCCCUGCAGCCAGGCCCCUGCAGCCAGCCCCCUGCAGCCAGCCGCCUGCAGCCAGUGGUUCUUCAGUGGCCCCAGGGAAAGGCCAGGCACUGUGGAGACGCUUCCCAGCCACACUCGCUGAGCCGCGCCGGGAUAGGGUCUCUCCACCCAAGCUCCUUUUAGGAAAGUGGUUCCUGGGAAGAUGGAUAAGACCCAGCGUCCACCGGGGUCUGCGUUCUAAGUGGUACGCUUGUGAGGGCUGUUGCACGUGAACAAUUCCCUGUGAUACAUUCCGCAGGCACCGGGGAAGCUCCAGGCUGGGCGUGGAGCCUCAGAGACUGUGGGCAGGGCUCGUGAGGGGCAGGCGAGGGGCCAGGAGGCCUCCUUCGCAUUCGAGCUUCUCAGCCACGUGUGCAGGGGUGGGCUGGGUGUGGGAGUGUGUGUGUCACUGGUGUCAAAGCCUCCUCACUUUUUUUGGGAAAGAAAUGGGAUAUAAAUACAUGUGUAAAUAUCUAUAUAAAAUUCACAUUCUCU